AUUGAACAGCAACGAGCUUUGGCAGCUGGAGUGAGGUAUCCAGUACAGAAUGAAUAAAGUAAAAUGAAAGAAAUGGUGAUUAGAUCAUGUAUUAAGAAUUUUUUUCUUUUCUACUUUUCAUGUUAAAUCUUUUCUAGUUUCGUAAGGCUGAGGGCACAUCUUUCCUGUUUUAGACAAACCAAGUUAAACAUAUCUUUUUUACUUGGUUGGGUAGGGAAUAGAAAAAAAAGGGGGGGCUCACUAGAUUGUGUGGAUUCUCUUAUUUAUGUGGUAGAUUCUCUACUCAUUUUUUUUGAAUUAAAGUGGAUCAAAUCUAUUGAA
Molecule: long non-coding RNA, 321 nt
Filed under: Medicago truncatula (barrel medic)
Lineage: Eukaryota; Viridiplantae; Streptophyta; Magnoliopsida; Fabales; Fabaceae
Description: lncRNA gene20435
Source: RNAcentral